RNAcentral lists this ribosomal RNA (253 nucleotides) under uncultured bacterium. Its description in RNAcentral is "partial 16S ribosomal RNA". It matches the Rfam family "Bacterial small subunit ribosomal RNA", at positions 524 to 776 of the family's 1533-position model. The record is from RNAcentral.
GACGAACCGUGCGAACGUUGUUCGGAAUCACUGGGCUUAAAGGGCGCGUAGGCGGCUUGCCAAGUCCGGGGUGAAAGCCUCCAGCUUAACUGGAGAAGUGCCUUGGAUACUGGCGAGCUCGAGCGAGGUAGGGGCAGAUGGAACUUCCGGUGGAGCGGUGAAAUGCGUUGAUAUCGGAAGGAACGCCGGUGGCGAAAGCGAUCUGCUGGACCUCUUCUGACGCUGAGGCGCGAAAGCUAGGGUAGCGAACGGG